GUACACGCUGUGACUAGCAUAUCAAUAAGCGGAGGAAAAGAAACUAACAAGGAUUCCCCUAGUAACGGCGAGUGAAGCGGGAAGAGCUCAAAUUUGAAAUCUUAAAGGGUUUCCCUUUACGAAUUGUAGUUUAAAGAAGUGUUUUCCGUUGAGGUUUUGGUAAAAGUUCUUUGGAAUAGGACAUCAUAGAGGGUGAGAAUCCCGUAUUUGACCUUUACUUUCAACUUUGUGAUACACUUUCAAAGAGUCGGAUUGUUUGGGAAUGCAGUCCAAAAUGGGUGGUAAAUUUCAUCUAAAGCUAAAUAUUGGCGAGAGACCGAUAGCGAACAAGUACCGUGAAGGAAAGAUGAAAAGAACUUUGAAAAGAGAGUUAAACAGUACGUGAAAUUGUCAAAAGGGAAGCGUUUGACACCAGUGUUGUUUUUCUGAAAAUCAAUUAAAGAACUGUUUAUGCUAAGUUGUUUAGACUUUAUCAGCUAUCUGUUUAGUUUUGAGCUUUUCUUUAAUGCACUUUUCAGUUAACAAGUCAACAUCAAUUUCUUUUGCUGUAAAGAAGCUUGAGGAAGGUGGCUUGAGAUUCGUCUUAAGUGUUUAUAGCCUCUUGCCUAUGCAGUCGGAGAGAUUGAGGUCUGCAGCGUAGAUCCUUCGGGGCUAAAUGCAUUUGUGCUAAGUUAUAGCAUUUUAUAGACAACUUGUUGACUAUGAUUUGUCUUGUAGCUUACUCGCUUAUGUUAUUUUACCUACGCUUAGGAUGUUGAAGAUGUAGCACAUCA
Molecule: ribosomal RNA, 773 nt
Filed under: uncultured Neocallimastigales
Lineage: Eukaryota; Fungi; Neocallimastigomycota; Neocallimastigomycetes; Neocallimastigales
Description: partial large subunit ribosomal RNA
Rfam family: Eukaryotic large subunit ribosomal RNA
Source: RNAcentral